RNAcentral lists this ribosomal RNA (497 nucleotides) under uncultured bacterium. Its description in RNAcentral is "partial 16S ribosomal RNA". It matches the Rfam family "Bacterial small subunit ribosomal RNA", at positions 28 to 508 of the family's 1533-position model. The record is from RNAcentral.
GAUGAACGCUGGCGGCGUGCCUAAUACAUGCAAGUCGAGCGAACAGACGAGGAGCUUGCUCCUCUGACGUAGCGGCGGACGGGGGAGUUACACGUGGAUAACCUACCUAUAAGACUGGGAUAACUUCGGGAAACCGGAGCUAAUACCGGAUAAUAUAUUGAACCGCAUGGUUCAAUAGGGAAAGACGGUUUUGCUGUCACUUAUAGAUGGAUCCGCGCCGCAUUAGCUAGUUGGUAAGGUAACGGCUUACCAAGGCGACGAUGCGUAGCCGACCUGAGAGGGUGAUCGGCCACACUGGAACUGAGACACGGUCCAGACUCCUACGGGAGGCAGCAGUAGGGAAUCUUCCGCAAUGGGCGAAAGCCUGACGGAGCAACGCCGCGUGAGUGAUGAAGGUCUUCGGAUCGUAAAACUCUGUUAUUAGGGAAGAACAAAUGUGUAAGUAACUAUGCACGUCUUGACGGUACCUAAUCAGAAAGCCACGGCUAACUACGUGC